UACGUAGGGUGCGAGCGUUGUCCGGAAUUAUUGGGCGUAAAGAGCUCGUAGGCGGUGUGUCACGUCGGCCGUGAAAACCUGCAGCUUAACUGUGGGCGUGCGGUCGAUACGGGCAUCACUGGAGUUCGGCAGGGGAGACUGGAAUUCCUGGUGUAGCGGUGAAAUGCGCAGAUAUCAGGAGGAACACCGGUGGCGAAGGCGGGUCUCUGGGCCAAUACUGACGCUGAGGAGCGAAAGCGUGGGGAGCAAACAGG
Molecule: ribosomal RNA, 254 nt
Filed under: uncultured bacterium
Lineage: Bacteria
Description: partial 16S ribosomal RNA
Rfam family: Bacterial small subunit ribosomal RNA
Source: RNAcentral